Molecule: unclassified non-coding RNA, 400 nt
Filed under: soil metagenome
Description: partial contains 5.8S ribosomal RNA, internal transcribed spacer 2, and large subunit ribosomal RNA
Rfam family: 5.8S ribosomal RNA (bases 1-122)
Source: RNAcentral
GAUGAAGAACGUAGCGAAAUGCGAUACUUGGUGUGAAUUGCAGAAUCCCGUGAACCAUCGAGUCUUUGAACGCAAGUUGCGCCUCAAGCCAUUGGGUUGAGGGCACGUCUGCCUGGGCGUCACAUAUCGUUGCCUGAUGCCAGUUUCCUCGUGAUGGGUGACUGUGCAGGGCGAAUGAUGGCUUCCCGUGAGCAUUGUUGCCUCAUGGUUGGUUGAAAAUUGAGUCCUUGGUAGGGAGCACCGUGAUAGAUGGUGGUUGAGUGACGAACGAGACCCAAUCAUGUGAGACCCCUACCGAAUUUGGCCUUCAUGACCCACAUGCGUCUUUGGAACGCUCAUGACGAGACCUCAGGUCAGGCGGGGCUACCCGCUGAGUUUAAGCAUAUCAAUAAGCGGAGGA